Molecule: long non-coding RNA, 1414 nt
Organism: Mytilus californianus (California mussel)
Lineage: Eukaryota; Metazoa; Mollusca; Bivalvia; Mytilida; Mytilidae
Exons: 3
Source: RefSeq, a predicted model, not a curated record
AGGUUCUUUCUGCGAGAUGAUUUCAUGGUAUGGGAAUAAGACUUGGUGGUCUAAUACAGCUAAUAUGUAGGUUAGCAUCACAGCUUGUCCAUAAGGAUUAAGGCUGAAAAUGGCCAUUGGAGCUGACUUUUAUGGUAACUUCAACUGUGGCUGAUUAAAAUUAUGGUGCGAUGUAACUGAAACAGUAAAGAAUGUAAUUCAGACAAUUUUUGUGUAUGUUUUAAAAAAUGUUCAUAAUUUUUUUACAAAAAAAAUAAUGUGUAAGGAUUCUCCAUUUUCAACAUGAUUGGAAGUUGUAGGCAAACUUGAUAGUUCAGAUCCUAUUGAUUAUUUUUUCCCCCUGUGACUAGAUUUAAUUGAUACUUUGAAAAUGAAAGGAAACGGACAAUUUGACAAUUUUACUUGUAGUCCUACUUAAGAUAUCUUAAUAGUGGUCCAUGUGUAGUCAAAACAUUUCCAAUAGGUUUAGAAUGGAGAAUCUAAAAAAAAAAAAAAGAAAAAAGAAAACAAAAUGUUAUUUUAUUGAAAUGUAUUUUUUGGGUUUCCUGAAUUGUUAGAUUUUUUUCCAACUUUUUGUUAUUUUUAGCAGUGUUUUUAGCUAAAAAAAAAAUAAAGAUUAUUUCACAAGAAGCAUAGUAAAGAAACAUCUUGGUGAAAAAAGGAUUGAUUGAUUUUUGGUGUUAAAUGCCACUUUUAGGAAGAUUGGUGGCCAUUUUUGUAUAGGUUGAGGAAGUCGGAGUAAUGGGAGAAAACCACCUAGGCCUCUAGGUGAAAAUUAAUAUACUAAAUAUGUUAUUAAAAUGUUUUGGAUUUUUUAUAUCAAAUUAUUUUUUAAAUUUAGUUAUACCAUUUUUGUUUUUUUGUUAAAUAUAGCAAUGAUGUGGAGUCCCAACAGGGUGAAAUUUAGGGCAAAGGGAGGUAAUUUAUUAUACCCCUGUUGAACUCCUCAUUCUUGAAAUUUCCUCAAUGUUAGGGAAUGUAUAACUUUAUUUACUUGAAUUUCACAUUUGUAUAAGUUUUUGCAUUAAUAUCAGAUGUAUACUAGCUAAUAUUGACUGUUAUUUAGAGCUCUGUGAAUAAAAAAUGUAAACAGAGCUCUAGAUAAUAGAUAUGAAGGGUGGGAGAAAUCAUGGGUCACUUCGGGUAGAAGUGAUUUGGUGAAAUUUUCAAAAUAGGUGAUUAAUUGAAAGUGCAUCUGAUAUUUUUUAUAUAUAUAACUUUAUUUCUAUAAACAAAUGGACCAAAAAAAAAUAGAUUGACAAUAAGAUGAUGAUAGCCACCCUGGCCGCCAGGAGAGCGAAAAAAAAAUAGAUUGACAAUAAGAUGACAGCCACCCUGGCCACCAGGAGAGCAGCUCCAAGGAAGAUGGUCAAUUAAAUCUUCAACCAAGUUUGAGGCCUUACCAUGAAAAAUA